AGUUUGAUUCUGGUCUCAGAUUGAACGCUGGCGGGAUGCUUUACAUGCAAGUCGAACGGGCAGCACGGACUUCGGUCUGGUGGCGAGUGGCGAACGCGGAGGGAAUGUAUCGGAACGUGCCUAGUAGCGGGGAUAACUACGUGAAAGCGUAGCUAAUACCGCAUACGCCCUUCGGGGGAAAGCGGGGACCUUCGGGCCUCGCACCACAGAGCGGCCGAUAUCAGCUAGUUGGUGGGGUAACGGCUCACCAAGGCGACGAUCCGUAGCUGGUUUGAGAGGACGACCAGCCACACUGGGACUGAGACACGGCCUGACUCCUACGGAGGCAGCAGUGGGGAAUUUUGGACAAUGGGGAAACCCUGAUCCAGCCAUCCGCGUAAAGUGCGAUGAAGGCCUUCGGGUUGUAAAGCACCUGGCAGUGAAAGAAACGGCACGGGAUAAUACCCUGUGCAACUGACGGUACCUGCAGAAUAAGCACCGGCCAACUACGUGCCAGCAGCCGCGGUAAUACGUAGGUGCAAGCGUUAAUCGGAAUUACUGGGCGCAAGCGUGCGCAGGCGGUUCGGAAAGAAAGAUGAAAUCCCAGAGCUUAACUUUGGAACUGUGCAUUUUUAACUACCGAGCUAGAGUGUGUCAGAGGGAGGUGGAAUUCGCGUAGCAGUGAAAUGCGUAGAUAUGCGGAGGAACACCGAUGGCGAAGGCAGCCUCCUGGGAUAACACUGAGCUCAUGCACGAAAGCGUGGGGAGCAAUGUGAUUAGAUACCCUGGUAGUCCACGCCCUAAACGAUGUCAACUAGCUGUUGGGGCCUUCGGGCCUUGGUAGCGCAGCUAACGCGUGAAGCUGACCGCCUGGGAGUACGGUCGCAAGAUUAAAACUCAAAGGAAUUGACGGGGACCUGCACAAGCGGUGGAUGAUGUGGGGAUUAAGUCUGAUGCAACGCAGCAAACCCGGCCUACCCUUUAUAUGUCUGAAUCCCGAAGAGAUUUGGGAGUGCUCGCAAGAGAACCGAACACAGGUGCUGCAGAUGGCUGGUUUGUCAGCUCGUGUCGUGAGAUGUUGGGUUAAGUCCCGCAACGAGCGCAACCCUUGUCAUUAGUUACGAAAGGGCACUCCAUCGAGACUGCCGGGUGACAAACCGGCAAAGGUGGGGAUGACGUCAAGUCCUCAUGGCCCUUAUGUAGGUCAAUGCCAUACAAUGGUCGUGGGACAGAGGGUCGCCAACCCCGCGAGGGAGCCAAUCCCAGAAACCCGAUCAGUCCGAUCGUAGUCUGCAACUCGAUCAGGCGAAGUCGGAAUCGCUAGUAAUCGCGGAUCAGCAUGUCGCGGUGAAUACGUUCCCGGGUCUUGUACGCACCGCCCGUCACACCAUGGGAGUGGGUUUUACCAGAAGUAGUUAGCCUAACCGUAAGGAGGGCGAUUACCACGGUAGGAUUCAUGACUGGGAAGCUUCAACAAGGUAG
RNAcentral lists this ribosomal RNA (1461 nucleotides) under uncultured Bordetella sp. RNAcentral's name for it is "partial 16S-23S ribosomal RNA intergenic spacer". It matches the Rfam family "Bacterial small subunit ribosomal RNA". Lineage: Bacteria; Pseudomonadati; Pseudomonadota; Betaproteobacteria; Burkholderiales; Alcaligenaceae. The record is from RNAcentral.